Molecule: non-coding RNA, 99 nt
Organism: Staphylotrichum tortipilum
Lineage: Eukaryota; Fungi; Ascomycota; Sordariomycetes; Sordariales; Chaetomiaceae
Source: the annotation of a GenBank genome assembly
GCCCGGUUAGCUCAGCUGGUUAGAGCGUCGUACUAAUAUCGCACACCCAGCUAUAUUCUGUUCAUGCGAAGGUCAACAGUUCAAUCCUGUUACUGGGCA